Long non-coding RNA from Solanum verrucosum, 416 nucleotides. RefSeq lists it as uncharacterized. The record is from RefSeq and is a predicted model, not a curated record. The transcript has 2 exons. Lineage: Eukaryota; Viridiplantae; Streptophyta; Magnoliopsida; Solanales; Solanaceae.
CACUUUUGGUGGCGAUGGUGUAACCGGUGGAUGUGGUGGGGCCACUUUUGGUGGCGAUGGUGUAACCGGUGGACGUUGUGGGGCCACUUUUGGAGGGAAAGGAGGUGUAUUAGGUUGGUGGGGUGGUGACACACUUGGUGGAGGAAAUGGAUAGUUAUGAGGUGGGAAUGGAGGGAAGUAGGGGAAGUUGAAAUUUUGAACAUUUGCCAUUGCAAUGGAAGUUUUUGUUACUUUGCUAAAAGCUUAUACUGAGUAAGAUGUUUUUAUGAUGAUGUUUAUUGUUAGUGUUGAGUUUGAGUAUAUAUAUUACUUAGGUGUUAGUAUGAUAAUACUUGUAAGGUUGUUAUAACUUGACUCUUAGGCUAAGUUUUGCCAAGUUGUCAUUGAUUGCAUUCCAAAACACUCAUUUUUAUUCA